Molecule: transfer RNA, 64 nt
Filed under: Cryptocephalus tibialis
Lineage: Eukaryota; Metazoa; Arthropoda; Insecta; Coleoptera; Chrysomelidae
Description: tRNA-Cys
Source: RNAcentral
AGUCUUAUAGUUAAUUUAAUAUUAGAUUGCAAAUCUAAAGAUGAAAAUAGUUUUUCUAAGGCUU